Molecule: long non-coding RNA, 3222 nt
Filed under: Cyclopterus lumpus (lumpfish)
Lineage: Eukaryota; Metazoa; Chordata; Actinopteri; Perciformes; Cyclopteridae
Description: lncRNA (ENSCLMG00005001167.1)
Source: RNAcentral
AUGCGCGGCCCUUACUCAGCCACUCCGUCUCGGCCUCCAGCAGCAGGAUGUCCCGCAGCUGCCUCCGGAGGCUCUCGUUCUCCCGCUGGGUGCGGGCGCUCUCCUCCCGGUACUCGCUCACCGCGUCCUGCACCACGCCCAGGAUGUCCUUCACCACCACGGCCAGCCGCUCCGUCAGGUAGGCGUUCAGGAGCUGCAGUUUGGUCAUCGUGGAGACGCGGACAGCCACACCGGAAACAGAGCGGGCGACAACAGGAAGCGGGUUCGCUGCCUUCCGGCGAUGCACGGCGUUCCUUCAAAAUAAAAACUCGGUGGAAGACUCAUCCACCACAAGACUCGGGAGAAGACUCAUCCAUCACAAGACUCGGUGGAAGACUCAUCCAUCACAAGACUCGGAAGAAGACUCAUCCAUCACAAGACUCGGGGAAGACUCAUCCAUCACAAGACUCGGAAGAAGACUCAUCCAUCACAAGACUCGGGGAAGACUCAUCCAUCACAAGACUCGGUGGAAGACUCAUCCACCACAAGACUGGGGGGAAGACUCAUCCAUCACAAGACUCGGAAGAAGACUCAUCCAUCACAAGACUCGGGGAAGACUCAUCCAUCACAAGACUCGGUGGAAGACUCAUCCACCACAAGACUGGGGGGAAGACUCAUCCAUCACAAGACUCGGAAGAAGACUCAUCCAUCACUAGACUCGGGAGAAGACUCAUCCAUCACUAGACUCGGGGGAAGACUCAUCCAUCACUAGACUCGGGGGAAGACUCAUCCACCACAAGACUCGGGAGAAGACUCAUCCAUCACAAGACUCGGGAGAAGACUCAUCCAUCACAAGACUCGGUGGAAGACUCAUCCACCACAAGACUCGGGAGAAGACUCAUCCACCACAAGACUCGGGGGAAGACUCAUCCAUCACUAGACUCGGGGGAAGACUCAUCCACCACUAGACUCGGGAGAAGACUCAUCCAUCAUAAGCCUCGGGGGAAGACUCAUCCACCACAUGACUCGGAAGAAGACUCAUCCAUCACUAGACUCGGGAGAAGACUCAUCCAUCAUAAGCCUCGGGGGAAGACUCGUCCACCACAUGACUCGGGAGAAGACUCAUCCAUCACAAGACUCGGUGGAAGACUCAUCCAUCACAAGACUCGGUGGAAGACUCAUCCACCACAAGACUCGGGAGAAGACUCAUCCAUCACAAGACUCGGUGGAAGACUCAUCCAUCACAAGACUCGAGGGAAGACUCAUCCAUCACAAGACUCGGAAGAAGACUCAUCCAUCACAAGACUCGGGGAAGACUCAUCCAUCACAAGACUCGGUGGAAGACUCAUCCACCACAAGACUGGGGGGAAGACUCAUCCAUCACAAGACUCGGAAGAAGACUCAUCCAUCACAAGACUCGGGGACGACUCAUCCAUCACAAGACUCGGUGGAAGACUCAUCCACCACAAGACUGGGGGGAAGACUCAUCCAUCACUAGACUCGGGAGAAGACUCAUCCAUCACUAGACUCGGGGGAAGACUCAUCCAUCACUAGACUCGGGGGAAGACUCAUCCACCACAAGACUCGGGAGAAGACUCAUCCAUCACAAGACUCGGGAGAAGACUCAUCCAUCACAAGACUCGGUGGAAGACUCAUCCACCACAAGACUCGGGAGAAGACUCAUCCACCACAAGACUCGGGAGAAGACUCAUCCAUCACAAGACUCGGGAGAAGACUCAUCCAUCACUAGACUCGGGAGAAGACUCAUCCAUCACUAGACUCGGGAGAAGACUCAUCCAUCACUAGACUCGGGGGAAGACUCAUCCAUCACUAGACUCGGGAGAAGACUCAUCCACCACUAGACUCGGGAGAAGACUCAUCCAUCAUAAGCCUCGGGGGAAGACUCAUCCACCACAUGACUCGGAAGAAGACUCAUCCAUCACUAGACUCGGGAGAAGACUCAUCCAUCAUAAGCCUCGGGGGAAGACUCGUCCACCACAAGACUCAGGGGAAGACUCAUCCAUCACAAGACUCGGGAGAAGACUCAUCCAUCACUAGACUCGGGAGAAGACUCAUCCAUCAUAAGCCUUGGGGGAAGACUCGUCCACCACAUGACUCGGAGGAAGACUCAUCCAUCACAAGCCUCAGGGGAAGACUCGUCCACCACAAGCCUCAGGGGAAGACUCAUCCAUCACAAGACUCGGGAGAAGACUCGUCCACCACAAGCCUCAGGGGAAGACUCGUCCACCACAAGCCUCAGGGGAAGACUCAUCCAUCACAAGACUCGGGAGAAGACUCAUCCACCACAAGCCUCAGGGGAAGACUCGUCCACCACAAGCCUCAGGGGAAGACUCAUCUACCACAAGCCUCAGGGGAAGACUCGUCCACCACAAGCCUCAGGGGAAGACUCAUCCAUCACUAGACUCGGGAGAAGACUCAUCCAUCACUAGACUCAGGAGAAGACUCAUCCACCACAAGCCUCAGGGGAAGACUCGUCCACCACAAGCCUCAGGGGAAGACUCAUCUACCACAAGCCUCAGGGGAAGACUCGUCCACCACAAGCCUCAGGGGAAGACUCAUCCACCACAAGACUCGGAAGAAGACUCAUCCAUCACUAGACUCGGGAGAAGACUCAUCCAUCACUAGACUCGGGAGAAGACUCAUCCAUCAUAAGCCUCGGGGGAAGACUCGUCCACCACAAGCUUCGGGGGAAGACUCGUCCACCACAAGACUCGGAAGAAGACUCAUCCAUCACUAGACUCGGGAGAAGACUCAUCCAUCAUAAGACUCGGAAGAAGACUCAUCCAUCACAAGACUCGGGAGAAGACUCAUCCACCACAAGACUCGGAAGAAGACUCAUCCAUCACUAGACUCGGGAGAAGACUCAUCCAUCACUAGACUCGGGAGAAGACUCAUCCAUCAUAAGCCUCGGGGGAAGACUCGUCCACCACAAGACUCGGAAGAAGACUCAUCCAUCACUAGACUCGGGAGAAGACUCAUCCAUCAUAAGACUCGGAAGAAGACUCAUCCAUCACAAGACUCGGGAGAAGACUCAUCCAUCACUAGACUCAGGAGAAGACUCGUCCAUCAUAAGCCUCGGGGGAAGACUCGUCCACCACAAGACUCGGAAGAAGACUCAUCCAUCACAAGACUCGGGAGAAGACUCAUCCACCACAAGCCUCAGGGGAAGACUCAUCCACCACAAGCCUCAGGGGAAGACUCGUCCACCACAAGACUCGGAAG